This 307-nucleotide ribosomal RNA is filed under the name uncultured bacterium. RNAcentral's name for it is "bacterial SSU rRNA". It matches the Rfam family "Bacterial small subunit ribosomal RNA", at positions 28 to 334 of the family's 1533-position model. The record is from RNAcentral.
GACGAACGCUGGCGGCGUGCUUAACACAUGCAAGUCGAGCGAUGAAGCUCCUUCGGGAGUGGAUCAGCGGCGGACGGGUGAGUAACACGUGGGUAACCUGCCUCAUAGAGGGGAAUAGCCUUUCGAAAGGAAGAUUAAUACCGCAUAUGGUAGCUUUAUCGCAUGGUAAUGCUAUUAAAGGAGUAAUCCGCUAUGAGAUGGACCCGCGUCGCAUUAGCUAGUUGGUGAGGUAACGGCUCACCAAGGCGACGAUGCGUAGCCGACCUGAGAGGGUGAUCGGCCACAUUGGGACUGAGACACGACCCAG